RNAcentral lists this long non-coding RNA (350 nucleotides) under Mytilus galloprovincialis (Mediterranean mussel). The record is from RNAcentral. Lineage: Eukaryota; Metazoa; Mollusca; Bivalvia; Mytilida; Mytilidae.
CACUGGGUCGAUGCCACUGCUGGUGGAGAUUUAUUUCCCCGAGGGUAUCACCAGCCCAGUAGUCAGCACUUUUUGUGCAGAAAUGAAUUAUCAUUGAUAUGGUUAUAUUAACAAAUUAGCUGUUUACAAAAUUUAGAAUUUUUGAAAUGCUAAGGCUUUUCUACCUCAGGCAUAGAUUACCUUAGCUGGAUUUGGCAAAACUUUUAGGAUUGAUUGAUUGUUGGUUGCUUUACGCCGCAUUAGCACAAAAAGGCUAUAUCACGGCGAGAGCUAAUUCGAAUAUUUUUACAAUUUAAAGCAUAUUUUUAAAAUAAGACAAAAAGUCCUUCAAUAUACUAAAAUUCUUGACU